GACGAACGCUGGCGGCGUGCCUAAUACAUGCAAGUAGAACGCUGAAGAGAGGAGCUUGCUCUUCUUGGAUGAGUUGCGAACGGGUGAGUAACGCGUAGGUAACCUGCCUUGUAGCGGGGGAUAACUAUUGGAAACGAUAGCUAAUACCGCAUAACAAUAGGUGACACAUGUCAUUUAUUUGAAAGGGGCAAUUGCUCCACUACAAGAUGGACCUGCGUUGUAUUAGCUAGUAGGUGAGGUAACGGCUCACCUAGGCGACGAUACAUAGCCGACCUGAGAGGGUGAUCGGCCACACUGGGACUGAGACACGGCCCAGACUCCUACGGGAGGCAGCAGUAGGUAAUCUUCGGCAAUGGGGGCAACCCUGACCGAGCAACGCCGCGUGAGUGAAGAAGGUUUUCGGAUCGUAAAGCUCGGUUGUAAGUCAAGAACGAGUGUGAGAGUGGAAAGUUCACACUGUGACGGUAGCUUACCAGAAAGGGACGGCUAACUACGUG
Molecule: ribosomal RNA, 497 nt
Filed under: uncultured bacterium
Lineage: Bacteria
Description: partial 16S ribosomal RNA
Rfam family: Bacterial small subunit ribosomal RNA
Source: RNAcentral